This 429-nucleotide ribosomal RNA is filed under the name Chloroflexota bacterium. RNAcentral describes it as "Chloroflexi bacterium partial 16S ribosomal RNA". It matches the Rfam family "Bacterial small subunit ribosomal RNA", at positions 355 to 776 of the family's 1533-position model. The record is from RNAcentral. Lineage: Bacteria; Bacillati; Chloroflexota.
UGGGGAAUAUUGCACAAUGGGCGCAAGCCUGAUGCAGCCAUGCCGCGUGUGUGAAGAAGGCCUUCGGGUUGUAAAGCACUUUCAGCGGGGAGGAAGGCGGUGAGGUUAAUAACCUCAUCGAUUGACGUUAUCCGCAGAAGAAGCACCGGCUAACUCCGUGCCAGCAGCCGCGGUAAUACGGAGGGUGCAAGCGUUAAUCGGAAUUACUGGACGUAAAGCGCACGCAGGCGGUCUGUCAAGUCGGAUGUGAAAUCCCCGGGCUCAACCUGGGAAAUGCAUCUGAUAAUGGCAAGCUUGAGUCUCGUAGAGGGAGGUAGAAUUCCAGAGGCAGCCAUUAAAUGCGUAGAUAUCUGGGUGGAUACCGGUGUCGAUGGCGGCCCCCUGGACGAAGACUAACGCUCAGGUGCGAAAGCGUGGGGAGCAAACAGG